UACGAAGGGGGCUAGCGUUGUUCGGAAUUACUGGGCGUAAAGCGCACGUAGGCGGAUACUUAAGUCAGGGGUGAAAUCCCGGGGCUCAACCCCGGAACUGCCUUUGAUACUGGGUAUCUCGAGUCCGGAAGAGGUGAGUGGAAUUCCGAGUGUAGAGGUGAAAUUCGUAGAUAUCGGGAAGAACACCAGUGGCGAAGGCGGCGACCUGGGCCAAUAGUUGACGCUGAGGUGCGAAAGCGUGGGGAGCAAACAGG
Molecule: ribosomal RNA, 254 nt
Filed under: uncultured bacterium
Lineage: Bacteria
Description: partial 16S ribosomal RNA
Rfam family: Bacterial small subunit ribosomal RNA
Source: RNAcentral